UAGUCCACGCCGUAAACGAUGGAUACUAGCUGUCCGAGGCCUUGAGUCUUGGGCGGCCAAGCGAAAGUGAUAAGUAUCCCACCUGGGGAGUACGUUCGCAAGAAUGAAACUCAAAGGAAUUGACGGGGGCCCGCACAAGCGGUGGAGCAUGUGGUUUAAUUCGAUGAUACGCGAGGAACCUUACCAGGGCUUAAAUGCAUAUUGACAGGUCUAGGGAUAGAUUUUCCUUCGGGCAAUUUGCAAGGUGCUGCAUGGUUGUCGUCAGCUCGUGCCGUGAGGUGUCAGGUUAAGUCCUAUAACGAGCGCAACCCCUGUUGUUAGUUGCCAGCGAGUCAAGUCGGGAACUCUAGCAAGACUGCCGGUGCAAACCGCGAGGAAGGUGGGGAUGACGUCAAAUCAUCACGGCCCUUACGUCCUGGGCCACACACGUGCUACAAUGGUAGGUACAAUGAGCAGCCACUGCGCGAGCAGGAGCGAAUCUAAAAAACCUAUCUCAGUUCGG
Molecule: ribosomal RNA, 502 nt
Filed under: uncultured bacterium
Lineage: Bacteria
Description: bacterial SSU rRNA
Rfam family: Bacterial small subunit ribosomal RNA
Source: RNAcentral